This 1372-nucleotide ribosomal RNA is filed under the name uncultured bacterium. RNAcentral describes it as "bacterial SSU rRNA". It matches the Rfam family "Bacterial small subunit ribosomal RNA", at positions 28 to 1381 of the family's 1533-position model. The record is from RNAcentral.
GAUGAACGCUGGCGGCGUGCCUAAUACAUGCAAGUCGAGCGAACGGACGAGAAGCUUGCUUUUCUGAUGUUAGCGGCGGACGGGUGAGUAACACGUGGAUAACCUACCUAUAAGACUGGGAUAACUUCGGGAAACCGGAGCUAAUACCGGAUAAUAUUUUGAACCGCAUGGUUCAAAAGUGAAAGACGGUCUUGCUGUCACUUAUAGAUGGAUCCGCGCUGCAUUAGCUAGUUGGUAAGGUAACGGCUUACCAAGGCAACGAUGCAUAGCCGACCUGAGAGGGUGAUCGGCCACACUGGAACUGAGACACGGUCCAGACUCCUACGGGAGGCAGCAGUAGGGAAUCUUCCGCAAUGGGCGAAAGCCUGACGGAGCAACGCCGCGUGAGUGAUGAAGGUCUUCGGAUCGUAAAACUCUGUUAUUAGGGAAGAACAUAUGUGUAAGUAACUGUGCACAUCUUGACGGUACCUAAUCAGAAAGCCACGGCUAACUACGUGCCAGCAGCCGCGGUAAUACGUAGGUGGCAAGCGUUAUCCGGAAUUAUUGGGCGUAAAGCGCGCGUAGGCGGUUUUUUAAGUCUGAUGUGAAAGCCCACGGCUCAACCGUGGAGGGUCAUUGGAAACUGGAAAACUUGAGUGCAGAAGAGGAAAGUGGAAUUCCAUGUGUAGCGGUGAAAUGCGCAGAGAUAUGGAGGAACACCAGUGGCGAAGGCGACUUUCUGGUCUGUAACUGACGCUGAUGUGCGAAAGCGUGGGGAUCAAACAGGAUUAGAUACCCUGGUAGUCCACGCCGUAAACGAUGAGUGCUAAGUGUUAGGGGGUUUCCGCCCCUUAGUGCUGCAGCUAACGCAUUAAGCACUCCGCCUGGGGAGUACGACCGCAAGGUUGAAACUCAAAGGAAUUGACGGGGACCCGCACAAGCGGUGGAGCAUGUGGUUUAAUUCGAAGCAACGCGAAGAACCUUACCAAAUCUUGACAUCCUUUGACAACUCUAGAGAUAGAGCCUUCCCCUUCGGGGGACAAAGUGACAGGUGGUGCAUGGUUGUCGUCAGCUCGUGUCGUGAGAUGUUGGGUUAAGUCCCGCAACGAGCGCAACCCUUAAGCUUAGUUGCCAUCAUUAAGUUGGGCACUCUAAGUUGACUGCCGGUGACAAGCCGGAGGAAGGUGGGGAUGACGUCAAAUCAUCAUGCCCCUUAUGAUUUGGGCUACACACGUGCUACAAUGGACAAUACAAAGGGCAGCGAAACCGCGAGGUCAAGCAAAUCCCAUAAAGUUGUUCUCAGUUCGGAUUGUAGUCUGCAACUCGACUACAUGAAGCUGGAAUCGCUAGUAAUCGUAGAUCAGCAUGCUACGGUGAAUACGUUCCCGGGUCU